UACGGGGGGGGUAAGCGUUGUUCGGAAUUACUGGGCGUAAAGGGCUCGUAGGCGGCCAACUAAGUCAUACGUGAAAUCCCUCGGCUUAACCGAGGAACUGCCUGUCAAACUGCAUGGCUUGAGACCGGGAGAGGUGAGUGGAAUUCCCAGUGUAGCGGUGAAAUGCGUAGAUAUUGGGAGGAACACCAGUGGCGAAGGCGGCUCACUGGACCGGUACUGACGCUGAUGCGCGAAAGCGUGGGGAGCAAACAGG
Molecule: ribosomal RNA, 253 nt
Filed under: uncultured bacterium
Lineage: Bacteria
Description: partial 16S ribosomal RNA
Rfam family: Bacterial small subunit ribosomal RNA
Source: RNAcentral